UCUUUCCUUCCUUUUGAUAAUCUCGGCCGAACACACACAGAUACCCACUUCCUUUCAAAUUUCAAACAUUUUCCUUGAAGAUCAAAGCCAUUUCAAGCUAGUUUCAAGGUGUUUUGAAGAUUCAAGGGUGAUUUCAAGGUGAUUCCAAGAAGGUGCAAGCUCCAUAUCAUCAAACCUUGUCAAAAACCAACCAAGAUCUUGAAGGUAUAAACUUAUUUUUAAAAAUCAUGUUCUUGAUCUUUGGUGAUGAUGAUGAUAGUGGAAGAUACAUGAGUCCGGCUUCGGGAAUUUUGGCUUGUAUUGUCAUUUGGUUGUGUGAUGCGAUUGUAAUUAAAUAAUGUUUGGACACUUUUAAACUACAUAUGGGACCGUGUGUAAUAAGACCCCUAAGGGUCAAACAACUAAGAUGUGGAUCCAAAUGUCCAACAUAAAUAUUGCAUCGACCACUAAGACAUUUAUGGGUAACAACCUCCGUCACUGUCACGUUUGUAUUUCCGCUGCGACGUUUUUGGGGUGU
RNAcentral lists this long non-coding RNA (517 nucleotides) under Helianthus annuus (common sunflower). Its description in RNAcentral is "hypothetical non coding rna". The record is from RNAcentral. Lineage: Eukaryota; Viridiplantae; Streptophyta; Magnoliopsida; Asterales; Asteraceae.